Molecule: ribosomal RNA, 436 nt
Filed under: uncultured bacterium
Lineage: Bacteria
Description: bacterial SSU rRNA
Rfam family: Bacterial small subunit ribosomal RNA
Source: RNAcentral
AACGCGAAGAACCUUACCAAGGUUUGACAUGCAGGGAAAAGCCGUAGAGAUACGGUGUCCGUAAGGGUCCUGCACAGGUGGUGCAUGGCUGUCGUCAGCUCGUGUCGUGAGAUGUUGGGUUAAGUCCCGCAACGAGCGCAACCCUCGCCCUUAGUUGCCAUCAUUUAGUUGGGCUCUCUAAGGGGACUGCCGGUGAUAAGCCGCGAGGAAGGUGGGGAUGACGUCAAGUCCUCAUGGCCCUUACGGGCUGGGCUACACACGUGCUACAAUGGCGGUGACAAUGGGACGCAAUGGGGCAACCCUGCGCAAAUCUCAAAAAGCCGUCUCAGUUCGGAUUGUGCUCUGCAACUCGAGCACAUGAAGUUGGAAUCGCUAGUAAUCGCAGAUCAGCACGCUGCGGUGAAUACGUUCCCGGGCCUUGUACACACCGCUAGUC